ACGAACGCUGGUGGCAUGCCUAACACAUGCAAGUCGAACGAGGUUUCCGCUUCGGUGGGGGCCUAGUGGCGCACUGGUGAGUAACGCGUGGGAACCUGCCCCGUGGUACGGAAUAACUCCGGGAAACUGGAGCUAAUACCGUAUGCGUCCUCCGGGACAAAGAUUUAUCGCCAUGGGAGGGGCCCGCGUAGGAUUAGCUUGUUGGCGGGGUAACGGCCCACCAAGGCUUCGAUCCUUAGCUGGUCUGAGAGGAUGAUCAGCCACACUGGGACUGAGACACGGCCCAGACUCCUACGGGAGGCAGCAGUGGGGAAUAUUGGACAAUGGGCGCAAGCCUGAUCCAGCAAUGCCGCGUGAGUGAUGAAGGCCUUCGGGUUGUAAAGCUCUUUCGCACGCGACGAUGAUGACGGUAGCGUGAGAAGAAGCUCCGGCUAACUUCGU
RNAcentral lists this ribosomal RNA (441 nucleotides) under uncultured bacterium. RNAcentral's name for it is "bacterial SSU rRNA". It matches the Rfam family "Bacterial small subunit ribosomal RNA", at positions 29 to 506 of the family's 1533-position model. The record is from RNAcentral.